Molecule: non-coding RNA, 44 nt
Organism: Orchesella cincta
Lineage: Eukaryota; Metazoa; Arthropoda; Collembola; Entomobryomorpha; Orchesellidae
Source: Rfam
UAAAAGGUCUUAUUUAAGACCAAAUAUAUGCAUACAAAAUUUGG